GAGUUUGAUCCUGGCUCAGGAUGAACGCUAGCGGCAGGCCUAACACAUGCAAGUCGAACGGUAACAUAGAAAAGCUUGCUUUUCUGAUGACGAGUGGCGCACGGGUGCGUAACGCGUAUAGAACCUACCCUUUACAGGGGGAUAGCCCGGAGAAAUUCGGAUUAAUACCCCAUAGUACUAAGAAGAGGCAUCUUUUUUUAGUUAAAGUAUUACGGUAAAGGAUGGCUAUGCGUCCUAUUAGUUAGUAGGUGAGGUAACGGCUCACCUAGACUCCGAUAGGUAGGGGCCCUGAGAGGGGGAUCCCCCACACUGGUACUGAGACACGGACCAGACUCCUACGGGAGGCAGCAGUGAGGAAUAUUGGACAAUGGUCGGGAGACUGAUCCAGCCAUGCCGCGUGCAGGAAGACUGCCCUAUGGGUUGUAAACUGCUUUUUUACGGGAAGAAUAAUACCCACGUGUGGGUAGAUGACGGUACCGUACGAAUAAGGACCGGCUAACUCCGUGCCAGCAGCCGCGGUAAUACGGAGGGUCCGAGCGUUAUCCGGAAUUAUUGGGUUUAAAGGGUCCGCAGGCGGGCCAGUAAGUCAGGGGUGAAGGUUUGCGGCUUAACCGUAAAAUUGCCUUUGAUACUGCUGGUCUUGAGUUGCGGUGAAGUGGCCGGAAUAUGUGGUGUAGCGGUGAAAUGCAUAGAUAUCACAUAGAACACCGAUUGCGAAGGCAGGUCACUAACCGCCGACUGACGCUGAUGGACGAAAGCGUGGGGAGCGAACGGGAUUAGAUACCCCGGUAGUCCACGCCGUAAACGAUGGACACUAGCUGUCGGGCCUUUUUGGCUCGGCGGCCCAGCGAAAGUGAUAAGUGUCCCACCUGGGGAGUACGUCGGCACGAUGAAACUCAAAGGAAUUGACGG
Molecule: ribosomal RNA, 912 nt
Filed under: uncultured bacterium
Lineage: Bacteria
Description: bacterial SSU rRNA
Rfam family: Bacterial small subunit ribosomal RNA
Source: RNAcentral